ACAAUAGGUGUUAAAUGUCAUCAUCCAUGUAGCCUAGAAACAAAUGAUACAUACUAGUUGCAAUGCUUGUAUCAAAGAGAAGUGUUAAGAUGUUUUCAUACAUGCUCUGCAGCUUUUCAAACACUUGUGUAACAGAGGGGCAGCUCUGUAGUCGGACAUUAGCCUGCCAGCUCACUGGUAGUAAGAGUGUGUGUGUGUGUGUGUGGGGUGCUGGAUUGUGCUGAUAUGUGAAGGCCAAGUGGAUUUAUAUACAAGUAUAUCUUGCUCACAUUUCCUCCACUGAACCACAAAGAGUAUAUUCUGUAGUGCAAAUGAUUGUGAAAUGGACCAUUUUCUGGUGUGUACAUGAAUACAGCUUCAUGGUGUGGUUAAUGAAAUAUUUAAACGUGGUUCGGAUCAAAGUUCAGUUUCUAAAACGUUUAUCUCCUCUCUCCUGCUUCCACAGGGACUGUCGGGACAGGUGAAAACAGCAUAAGUUGUCUGGCUUUGCUACGUGACUGGUUGCCCUUCAAGUUUUUGUCAUAACCUCCAACACAGCAUUCUCAUAAAGGACAGAAGACCCAGUGUUAAACUCGCAGCUCUGUACAGGAAGAUACAAACAAAUAAUGGAAAAGACUUGAAGGGCAAGAUUUGCCUGUGGAGCUCAGUUGUGACAUAAGGAGACCCUCCACAUCCACACUACACCCAACCACUGAAACACACAUGCACAUUGAAUAUGCGAAAUGAGGGGGAGAGAAAUAAAGUUCAACCUGUUGUCACUACAUUUUGUCAGCCGCAAUCUUUACAUGAAGAGAAGUGUGGGGACAAAAGAGAGAGGAUGAAACACUAACCAAAGACGGACCUUCCUCACAGCUCCUUGCGCUCUUCUGUAGGUCUCCACAAUGAUUUAAAAAAAAAAAAAUAGUAAUUAAAAGGAUUUUUUGUAACAUACAUACACAAAGACAAUAACAGAUGAUGUGACGUGACAGAAGACAAAAGAACAGUGGUAGACCCUGCCCAUCAGACCUGCUGGCUUAAACACUUGAGGUUGGAGUAGGUCGCUCUUUAAGGCUUUUAUAUCCACAGAAGCUGAAGUUGUUAACGUGUCUGUUUAAGUGUCAACAUUUUCUGUGUGCGUGUCUCCCACUCCCUCCUUUAAACUCUAAGGGACUUCUGCCAAAGUGACCUCUCCUGUUUGUUUUCUCCUCCUGUACUCACUUUGGCCCCUCAGGAAUCGGCGUUCCCACCACCGCUCAGACCUUUCAGAUCUGACGCGGAGGAGCUGCAACCGUCUCCCGCUCGCUUCUGCUACAAUAAAAAUGCUUUUUAGAGUUCACCGAGUCGGUGAUUUGUUCCCCGCUGAAAAGAAAAGAAAACUUUAGUGAAUAUCAGAAAUGUAUACGUCUGAUUUUGGUUGAUUUAUUUCUGGGCGAUACGGGGCAAAAAUCAGUUUUUCCUUUGAUUCUCUGCAGCUCAGUGAUUGCUUUAUUCGAUUGAUCUUUGUUGUGUGAAAGUGUAAGGAAAAACAGCCUGGUCUCAGUCGUCAUCUCCCCGCUCUUUUCCUCCGGUCCCUCAGUCUUCCACUGGCACUUCGUGCCAUCUCUCCCCUAUGUUCUCGCUCCUCAUCAUGUUGCCUUCAGUCUCACCACUUCAGAUUCAGUGUUGUUUUGAUUUUUUUCCUAAGGGGGCAGGUGUCCAGGUUUUUUUUGUUUGGCUGUUUUGAGAAAUCAAUUACUUUAUAUUUAUUUUAUGAGCCCUCUGAUUUAUUUGACCCCCACCCCCCCAUUUUCCUUUCCUUUCUUCUGAUUAGGGGUUUGCUUUAAAGUUUUUGAUGUAUAUAUCAUAUCACACUAGGGGAAAUAUUUAGUUUUUCUUUUGUUUUUUGAGGGGGGAGGGGCUCUAAUAAAAAUGAGAGGAAGGGUAAAUAAGAUUGAAUGAUUAGAAACGGUAACAGCAAAACAAAGAAGCGGUGGGCAUAAGAGGCAACAUAUUUUAAAGCUGCGCUGCUGUGUGAAUCUGUGGCCACAAGGGGGCAGUGAUGGCUGUUUCCCCACAGGCCCAAAGGAGAUCACAGUCUGAGCAGAAUCACGUGCUGAUGUCUGUAAAAAUCCAACUCCUGACCAUAGUUUUUCAGAGCAGGGCAGUUAGAAGGUAUCUCUACUUUGAUAAUUCCUCCCUGAAGCAGAUACCGGCAGGUUGGAUUUCUUUUCCUGCCGACGGAGCAGCAUUCAACCUUCCUGCUCUUCUACACCCAAACGAUAGUUUGCUCCCACUGUUUGUAAUGCUUUAAUUUUAGAUUUUUCUUUUUUUUAAAGAAUAAUUUGUUAACUUAAUUAAACUGUGCUGGUAAUCACAAAGUUAUGUAUGGCAAAAUUUGUUCCUCAAAUAAAUGCAUGUAAUAACUAAUAAUAUGACUGAAUGUAUGUUUCAAUGGAAAAUACUCCACUUGGAGCUGCACACGAAUGCAUGAAUGACAGCAAGAAUGAUUUGGAUGAAGUUUUGGGUUACAAAUAAUGUAAUAACAGACCAGGCUCAAUAUGUUGCAGUAACGGCAAUUAAAAUGGUGUUAAGAAGUGCAGCAAGCAGCACUGACAUGAUUACGGCUCCUCUGAAAGGAAAGAAAUGUGCUGUUGCUCUUUUGUUCUUUUUGGCUUGUUUUCUGCACUGCUGAGCGGCUCCUCGCAGGCACGUUAAACCAAAGCCUGUCACUGAUAACGAUGUUACUUGAACGUCGGAUGCUGUGUCAUUAAUGUGGUUUUUGUUUUUGUUUUUUACACAUAGUUUCAAGUUGCAUGCACACUUUUCAAGCUUGUCAGGCUGUUCUCAAAUUCUGAUUAACAACCACCAACACACACACACACACACACACACACACACACACACACACACCUUUUGCUCCAACUAACAGAAAUCGGACUUAUACUUGAGACAUCUCUACAUUUGAGUCCCUUUAGACCAGUGAUACCCAACCUGAAGACGCUCCAAAAAUGAAAGAUCUUAAGACAGUCCUCUGCUUUUUGCUUUGGAUGCUUAAUUUAUUUGUUUUCAGAUAAGACAAUUUUACAGUAGACCAUAGCAACUUAUUGAGCAAAGAUCCCCAUGUUAAGAACUUGACCAGGACUAAAAUACUGUGUGACCAAACGCACUGACACAUCCAUGCAUUUUACUCUUUAUAGGACAUGUUUGGCUGAUGUAAUGAGAGUAUACUGUUAGUUUCAGGUCUUCACAUAUUAUCUCAAUCGUAAGAAAAGAUUUGAAAUUAAGGUGUUUUUUGAAAGCUGACUUUAUCGUUGUAUUUCUGGUGGCUCAAUACUGCAGUGGUUUAUUCAUUCGCUUCACAAUGGAGAAGGAUCCUGGGGAGGAGAUACAAAUCCCUCUGUGGUGAUGUCAAGAAGUGCACCUGGCACCUACAUAAAUAAAUCUAUCAAAUCAAACGUGCUGCCUGCUGUGGUGACCGAUUGUCAAUAAGGAAGUUGCUAAAAGUAGCAUUACAAAAACUCCAUGAAGACAUCAAUAAGUGUGAAAAUCUUUAUACUCUGUCCACCUGUUCAACAUUUAUUCAUUUAUUUUUAUUCUUUGCUAAAUAUUUGCAUGUUUCAUUUUGUGAAUAAUGAGGCUGUUUCCUAGCAUUUACCAACUGGCACCAGGGGACUCGUUUGGAUUUAUCGUCAGUCAAAUUUCAUAGCAGGCUGAUGGAAAAUAAACAAGUGUCCCAUUUCUCUGCACCAGGGUUUCACAGCCUUUAAAUUUAAAGUUGGCUUCAGAAAAAGGAGAAAAGCAUGUUUUAGCUACCUUCUUUUGUUCCUUAAGAUCCUUGUUUCUCUCUCCCUCCUGUCCUAUGGUCAUUUCUAUUUCAUGCCUUUGAAAUUAAGUAUAAAACAAAAAGAAGUCAUGGCGUUAUUAUUAGAACACCACAGAGAUUCCAGGAGAAACACUUCCCUCUCCUGAAACUAUUCCCCAGUGUGAACCGACUCAUCCCUCUAGGGUGUAGUAGGCUGUCCUGGAGUGAAGGUGUGGAGAGCGAUGGGAGCUCUGCUCUGUAUGUUUUACUAUACAAAUUCUUGACCACACAAAUCCACCCCGCCCAAUUAUAUAAGAAUGAGAGAAAAUUGAGAAGAGGCCCCAAAGUGGUGCAAGUUUCAAGUAAAUGUCACAGAGUUUCUUUGUUUUUUGUUUUCAAAGUUACAUUAUGAAUCCUGAAAUGCUGAAGAAAGUACCAGAAAUGGCUCAUCUUUGCAUUUUGAAUCACUAUUUUUUUGUUUUUCAUGUUUGUAAACUUUUACAGUUGUAAACAGAAACUGUGAUCUUUCCUUUACUUCAACUGCUGUAAGGGGCGAUGCUCUGACCACUCAGCUGGUUUGUUAUUAUUAAUUCAUUUUUAAUUAUGUCAUUUUCCAGAGGCCAGACACCAAACUACUCGAUUAUUUAAGAAGAAAAGAAAUAUAUUUUAAUGUUAGCCCUCAAGUUUGGAACCACAGGCCUACAUUCAUUCAAUCUUCAGUUUUCUUCUGUGUUCACCGAUUGCAACAGUUAUCUGUGAUGCCACAAAACGUCCUUCCUGUCAUCAGUGCCUGUAAUCACCCACCCAAACCUGCCCUGCAGUCAGUGUAGUGUAAUCACGUUCGGUGUAGAUUUGGAGGAUUUUCUUCUCAGUCUGGACUCUUACAUCUCGGGACACAAACUGUGUGACACUGUUGCUGCACAGUUUUGGUUUUGUUGCAUCCGUGGGGAAAUUCUCGUUGAAAUAAAACAUUCCUAAUGUUC
Astatotilapia calliptera (eastern happy) is the source of this 4743-nucleotide long non-coding RNA. Lineage: Eukaryota; Metazoa; Chordata; Actinopteri; Cichliformes; Cichlidae. The record is from Ensembl.